Long non-coding RNA from Amphiprion ocellaris (clown anemonefish), 7018 nucleotides. RefSeq lists it as uncharacterized. The transcript is spliced from 10 exons. The record is from RefSeq and is a predicted model, not a curated record. Lineage: Eukaryota; Metazoa; Chordata; Actinopteri; Pomacentridae.
CGCCGAACUUCCUGUUUCUUUGUGUAAACAACGUUGUGCUCACGCAUCGUCGGAGAAACGCUCUGAACAGCGACGUGUGUGUAUAUCGAGCUGGAGAGCAUGCUAGCUGAUGGCUAACACUUAAAUUAGCGCCCUUGGAACGGCGGAAUGAGACGCUGAUUCUUAUUGACACCUAUCACCACCCACACACCUGACUUGAUGAUGCUGGAUGAGACAAAAGAAAAUGCCAUCAGAACCAUUUAAAAUUAGCUCCACCGUACAACAGAAUCGUCCCCCUGCGAGAUUCAACAUGGCUGCCUGUCCUUGAAGUUCUGUCCUUUAUAAGCAUAUCAAUGGAAAACCAACUGUGACAAACCCACACUGGAGCUGCCUUGUGGCUGGGAAGAGAAUCACAUGGUGGUGCUGAACCAAAUCAUCUGAAGAUACUGCCAUAAGCACCCUGAUCUGACAGCAGAGACACAGAUCCUGCCUCUGACAACUCGGUCUGUCACUUCCAGACAGAAGGGGAAAGGAUGAGAGGGACGGCUGUUUUGGCUGCUUCAGCCCACGGGUUUCCCAGAGACUAUGGGUUGAGGAGGAAUUGGAAGUUUGUCGGCUUAGACCUGGUGUCAUUCCAUCAGUGUUAAACUUCCCGGCUCAUCUUGGAAGAGUACGUGCCAGAAAGACCACGACCAAGCAGCCUUGAGAUCUUAGGCAGCGUCUCCCUCAGACCAAAGAACUACAGACACUUCACAACCUGCUCAAACUCUUGGUACAGGACCUCACCACACGGGUCAAGAAGGUUUCCAUCUCAUUUCUACUCUGAAGAUCACCUUCUCCUGCUCAAACUGCUGACAAAUGAUUCUGCUGCUCUAAAGUCUGGUCUCCAGAACUUCCUAAAAACUCUCAAAGUCUCUUCUGCUGCAGGUUGCUUUGUAGAACUGUUGCAGAAAACCUCACUAAACCACAUGGAGGGGCCUCAAGAUAGUCGUCCAAAUGAAACCAUACAAAAACCAAACUAGUACAACCCAAACACUAAAGUCUCCUGCAGCCUACCAGAGAACCUCUGAGAACAGAGAAUCAGGACAGGAACUCUUACCUUCUGGACAACCAAGAAUACAGAAUGUGUCUGACCAAAAACCUCUAAAGACUCACUACAGCCAAGAUAAAGACACAACUCAGCUGCAGCAAAUCCACUAAUCACUGCACACAUUAACACCAUGUGCUAACUGUGGCUAAAGAACCACGUUUACCAAGACAACUAUCCAGUACAAAGCCCUAAAACACACCAAGAAACACAUUAAAGAUGAUUUUACUGCUGGAAGCUGCAAGCCAACGCCUAAAGAACGAACUAAAGCAACGGAACCAAACCCAGUUCAUUGGUGCACAGAAGCAGAGAAAAUGUGUGUCUGCAGCUAAAUAAAGCAGGAAGACACUGAGCUGCUCAGGUGUUCCUGAUAACACCAAGCUGCUCAGGUGUUCCUGAUAACACCAAGCAGCCACCUGGACAGCCAAUAGGAACACAGCUUACUGGAAGUCCAGAGGGCUGGGUUAGUGAAGGAAAUUUAAUUUAAAGUUGAAGCAGAAAGUUAACAAAGAAAGUUGAAAACCACCUUCUGAUCCCUGAAAUCUCUGAGUUUUCACACUAAGAACACCUGAACAUGUCAAACUGGUUCCAUAGUAGAACCAUCAUUGUAAAAACGUCAUAGUAUGGUGUGUUGCUCAAAAAACAUUAGGACCCAGCUGUCAGGGGACAAACAUGUAAGAAACAUGAGAACAGAGAGAACCCAACCAGUAGGUCACAGUUUAUCAUCCCCCAGUCAUCUCCUGAAGUCCAUAUGGUGAGAGACAUCAGUAUCUGGUUGUUAAUUUACCAGAGGAUGCUUAUAAUCAUGCUGAUGUGGUCUGUACUCUACAGUAUUUUAGUGACUCAAUAAAUGCCUAAGUUGUUUUUUUUUAAAUGCUUUUUAGUUUUUAAUAAGCAUUUAAGAGCCUAUAUGUAAUCAAUAAAUGGCCUUUGCCUAUCUUAAGAAAAAUUCACUAAGAACUCUGAUAUGUUAACAGUACUAAAUAAAUCAAUAAAUACAUGCAUACACACAAAAAUAAGUUAAUACAUUAACUGUGUUAAGAUUUAGAUUUUUUAAAAAGUUGUUUAUGUUUUUGCAGAAUCCAGUAUUGCUCACUGGUUGGUCAUUACAUUUUGUUAGUUUGAUUUCACUGUUUAAAAUGAUGCCACCUCUUUUCAGACAGAACCUGUGAUAAUAAAACAAUACAAAAUUUUUAGUUCUGUGUUAAUAAAGCACUUAAAGCUGUAAGUAUGGCUAAAUGUUUUUCUAAAAAUUAAAUAUACCACUCCUUGGGUGGUAGUGACCCUAAGUUCGGUAAAGUUGGAAAGAUAUUCACAGAUUCGGACUUCCAGCAUCAAUAAUUCAUUAGAUAUAGGUUGUCAAAACAUAAACGGUGCCUCUUUCCCAUUGUUGCAAGGCAGACAAUGUGCUACAAGCCCAGUUUUAUCAAAAGUAGCUGUCUUUCAAGCUACAGGAAUAACAUUGGUGUCUAUGGAGUGAACAGGGUCCGUCUUCAAUUUGCAAAACCGCUGCAACAGUAAAGAGAGACAAAUAUUCAAUAACUUCACUCUUAUACAUUGUAGCGUCACUAAAAUCACUGCAGCCUUCAACUGGCUCCUGUUGACAAAGUGUUUUAACAGAAUUGUCAUGGCAACUGUAAACAUUGUGCGGGAGCAUGCCCGGUUGUCAUGGGAACUGUCUGCGGGAGCAUGAAGGCAGCCGGACGGAGCGCGUCUGCGGGUCACUGGCAACAUUAGCCGAAGAGAGAACUGUACAAAAAUAACAUUAGCAACACAUCAGCAUGUUACAAUCCACAGUUGCUCCAGUGGAGGGGAGGUUACGUCGCUGUGUGCCAAGCCUGCCAGCUAUCAAGCCAGACAGGCUGAAAACCGCUAAAGCACUGGUGGAGAAAGCAGUGAAGUGGAGGAAAGUGUUUUCAGUGCAGGGACCCUUAUCCUGUGAUCCGCGCUGCCUUAUGGGCCAGAGGGUGGGUGGAACGUCAUUUUCCCCAUCCGGUCCAGAGAGCCCCUCAUUACCAUGGCGAUGACGAAGAAGAUGGUGAUGACGGGGAUGGAGGUGCUGAUCUUAGUGGUGAGGCAAAUGGUUUCAGAAGAGAAAAGUCAUGAUGACCUAAUGUCCCUGCCAAUAAGAUCUCUCAAGUCAACAGGUAGAAGUCAUGGCUGUUGUAUUGGAUCACAUUAUAUUGUACAAGUGUUGUUUAUAUUGUACGGUCUUCAGUGGUGGACAGUAGUGAAGUACAUUUACUUGAGUACUGUACUUAAGUACAUUUUGUGAGUAUCUGUACUUUACUGUAGUAUUUGUUUUUUUUGGAAACUUCUGACUUUCACUCCACUACAUUUCAAAGACAAAUAUUGUACUUUUGACUCCACUACAUUUCUAGGAAGGUUGUUGUUACUUUUCGACUAAGCUUUGAAGUCAGCUGUUGCUGUUCUUUCUUUUCUAAAAUGCAGUUGGUCACAUGCUGUGUUCGUCACAAAAGGAAACCGAUCACAGUAGCUCCUCUCAGAUGGGACUGAUGUAAAUGUGGAAAUACGUCAUCCAGGUGCACAGACAAAGUCUGAAAUGUUUGCUAGGUUAGCGUCCCACAUGUUCUUUGGCUCAGCUAAAGCUAACUCUCUCCAACUUCUGGAUCUUUUUAGUUGCUUGUUGUUAAAAUAUCUUGCUAGAGGUGCUGAAGCUCAGAAAGUCUGAGAUGUUUGUUCAAAAUAAGCUCCUUCUCAAGUCUUAUCUGAACUGUCCUCUUUUAUCUCAUUUAUGUAGAGAUUAAACUUCAGUGUCAUUCAUUGAUGUUAAAGUGCAGUUUUUCAAAUGUUUGUUGCACAUGCUCCCGACCAAACCAGUCCAGGUGGAAGACGAUGUGAAGAGAAAGCUCCAGAGGAUGAAUAUCACACAUUUACGUUGGGAAUAAAUGUCCUUUAAUCUGACAUUGUCAUGCAAAAGUUGGAUUUCCCUUUAAUGAUGUUCAAAUCUUUGUUGAGUGUUUUGUUGAUGUUGGUUUCUAAAUGUUUUUUGACACUCGGCCCCAAAGAUUAAAACCUUUUACGGCUCACAAUCUGCAGCAAUUCACACAUUAUCAACUAUCUUUCUGACUAAACUAAGAUAAAAAGUGAAAAACUGCCUGAUUCCUGCAUCAUGAAUGUAAAUCUUUUUGGUUUUUAUGACAGUAAACUGAAUAUAUUUCGGCUUGACAUUUUAUAAACCAAAACAAGAAAUGAAUUAGUGGAAAACAAUCAACAGAUUAAUGGACAAAGAAAAUGUGUUUUCCAACAUAUAUGGCUGAAUUACUCCAACAUUACAAGAUACAUACAAUUUUAAUUUAAUUUUAUUUAUAUAACGCCAAUUACAGGUCAAAUUGUCUCAAGACGCUUUAUUUUUAUAUUUUUUUUGUAUUUUUUAAAAAUAUGACAUAGUAAGAAAUUUAAAGCUCUUGACUAAUCCAAUUUAUUACUUGGUUUUUAAGAGACUAAUGGACAAUUAAAAUAACUUUCUCCACUAAAACUAAUAAACAUGAGGUCAAAUAGAAGGAACAGUUUUAAAUACUGCAGUCCCACGAUGACAAGAAUAAAGUUUGUCAAGAAAAACUAAAUCUGCUGGUGGAUUCCAUUAAAGUCCUAAUAAAUGAUAAUAUAGUGUAAUACUAAAGGUUUGUGGUGCUAAAAAUGUCAAAGAUAUCAAGUUGAACAUGUGGAUGGAGGUUGAUAAAAGUUGACCUCCCUUCAUUUCUCUGGAGUCGACUCCAUGGAUUUUAUGGAUGGUGGUUAAAGACCUGCUCUUCUAGUCAUCGUCCUUCUAGUCGCUGUAAAAAGUCACACCAUCCUCGCCGACUUCAACACCUCUUCAUGACAACUUGUUCUGCCUCCGACCUGGUGGAAACUCCAGAAACUCUGGAAAACCCGUGGAGACUCGAAGAACUCGUGGAGACUCGAAGAACUCGUCGGGCGGGGGAAGGUGUGGUGGGUGGUGCGGGGAGGUGGGGGAGUAGAGGGGGGAGGCCGCCACCCACCUCCCCGCCUACUCUCCGCCCUGACUCCACCCAGACUCCGCCUUGGCCCUGCCCAUGUGGUCACUUCAUGAACUACGAUGUCAAAGGGACGACGAAUUUAUUUCUUUUCAUCUGAUCUGUAGCUCAGUGAGUUAAGGAUUUGCCUAUGGAGCUGCAGGUCGCUGGUUCAAGACCAGACACUUCUUAAAUUUUCUCAAAAUCCUGACAAAGACAAAGAAAGAAAACUGCCCGUGGCGGGUCUUGAACCUGCGACCUUCCACUCACUAGUCUAUCCUCUUAUCCCCCUGAGCUAUUCGCUCAGAUACUAAUUCUUCUUUUUUUUGCGCAUUUAUCAUCUAUUUUUUGUCGUUUUCGAGUUUUUUUUUAACUCGAGUCUUGACUCGACCAUUUUUCUCAGGAGGUUGGACUUCAGCCUUUGUGCUGGAGGGUGGAACCCUCAGUUCCAAGACUUUCCAAAGCCUCCACACCUCCCGAGUCCUCAGGACCUGAGCUUUCACACAGUCUGAGGGCUGAAAUUUUCUAAGUCCCACAGUAGUUCUCUGUUUGUGGUGCUAAAAAUGUCAAAGUAAAGAUAUGAAGUUAAACAUCGGGAUGGAGGUUGAUAAAAGUUGACCUCCCGUCAUUUCUCUGGAUCCGAGUCCAUGGGUUUUCUGGAUGGUGGUUAAAGACCUGCUCUUCUAGUCGUCUUCCUUCUAGUCGCUGUAAAAAGUCAGUCCAUCCUGGCCGACUUCAGCACCUCUUCAUGACAACUUGUUGUGCCUCUGACCUGAUGGAAACUCCAGAAACUCGGGAAAACUCGUGGAGACUGGAAGAACUCGUGGAGACUCGAAGAACUCGUCAGGCGGGGGAAGGUGUGGUGGGUGGUGGGGGAGUAGAGGGGGGAGGCCGCCACCCACCUCCCCACCUACUCUCCGCCCUGACUCCACCCAGACUCUGCCUUGACUCCACCUUUGCUCCACCCAUGUGGGGGAACGGCAACUACGAUGCCAAAGGGAUGACGAAAUGAUGUUUUCUUCAUCUGAUCUGUAGCUCAGUGAGUUAAGGAUUUGCCUGUGGCGCUGCAGGUCGCUGGUUCAAGACCAGACCCUUCUUAAGUUUUCUCAAAAUCCUGACAAAGACAAAGAAUGAAAAGUGCCAGUGGUGGGUCUUGAACCUGUGACCUUCCACUUGGUAGUCACUCUUCUAACCCCCUGAGCUACUCACUCAGAUACUAAAUCUUCUUUUUUUGCGCAUUUAUCAUCUAUUUUUUGGCGUUUUCGACUUUUUUAAACUUGUGUCUCGUCUCAACCAUUUUUCUCAGGAGGUUGGGCUUCAGCCUUUUUGCUGGAGGGUUGAACCCUCAGUUCCAAGACUUUCCAAGCCUCCAGACCUCCCGAGUCCUCAGGACCUGAGCUUUCACACAGUCUGAGGGCUGAAAUUUUCUAAGUCCCACAGUAGUUCUCUGUUAGAUUUAACUUUCAGACAGUCCAAGGACUGAUAUCUUCGAAGUUCCUGAGUAGUUCUCUGUUAGUUUGAACGUUCAGACAGUCUGAGGACUGAAAUCCUAAAAGUUCUUGAGUAGUUCUCUGUUAGUUUGAACCUUCAGACAGUCUGAGGGCUGAAGUUUUAAAAGUUUCUCAGUACUUCUCUGUUAGUUUGAACUUUCUGGUUAACAGAAGCCUUAAAACUUGUGACCAUGAGUCUUGAUUUCACAUUUAGACCAUCCAUCUGAGUUCUUCUCAGACCUUCACCUGUGGGUUUUUUAGAAAUCCUCAACAAACUUUGAUUCUCUUCACUGAACAGUAAAGUUUGUGGAGAUCAGAAGGUAACAUUAGUUUGAUCCAUGCCUUCAACUACUAGUAGACUUUAUCUGGAAAGCAGUUUUCUGAAAUGAGUUCUUAGUAAAUCUGUCCACAAUCAAACCAAGAACAUAGAAAGAGGAAAUGUUUGAAGAAACAACUUGAUGUUU